GCCCUGCCCGCAGGUCACAGGGUGGCUGUCCGCUCUCUGGUCGGCCUGCUGCUCCCCAGGGGCUUCAGGAAGGGACUGACCUUGACCCAGAGAGGAGGAGAUGGACUCGGACACCCAGCCCAAAGAGUGGGAGGAGCCCUGAGGGGUGCUGCCUGGGUGGGGGACCAGCGCUCAGAGGCCCCCCACGCCGCCGGCCCAGGCGCACGGCCGGCGCACGUCUGCGAGGCCAGGAAGGUUUGAGGCCGGGGUCAGGGAUCCGCGGAGGACGGACGUCUGGCGGCUGGCUCGCCACCCCCUCUCCCGGGGACUCGGACCGCCCGGCACCGCUCUGCUGGUGGAGAGGAGCCAGCGGGCGGCCCGACUGGGUGCCCCCGGUCAACUCACUCGCUCUCCGAGCACGUGCGGGGACCCAGCGGUCCUGGGAGACGCGCGCUUCCUACCCUCCCCGCGGGGCGGCGCCAGUGAGCAAGGCCGGGAGCGCAGGGUCAUUCCGUCCUCCCCUUCCCGCCUCUCUACACACGAGCCCCGAGUCCCCGGGGCCCCUGGAGCAGGCGGGUGGACCCCCCGACCGAGUCCGCUUAGAGAAGUCGGUGCGAGUUCAACGAACACGGUUGAACUAUCAGGGUCUUUAUCCCCGCCCGCAGGUCAAACCACUGACCUGAGAACCGGUUCGAAAGACCACGAGGACAUACCUGGAGUAUUUGAUGAAAUCCUAGUCCAAGAGAUUCUGGAACCCAAUAAAUCGACGUCUAAAAUGCCAACGGCAGGAACAACGCUAUCAACAAGAAUAUUCAAGGAAAAAAGCAACCUCGAGGAGGAGGACGCCCCGUCGGCUGCUUCCGAGGGUCACCGUGUGCUCUCGGCGGUUCUCCCCGUCUCUCUCGGCCCUGAGGACAAGAUGGUCAACAACGAACCCAGUACUGACGACACCUACCAAGUCGGCGAGCCCGAGGGCUCCCCGGAGCCGCAGUACCCCCCCGGCGUGGGAGACGUACUUCAGAAUAACGUCUUUUUCAAGGCUGAUUUUGAAACUAUAAUUGAGAACAUACAGCGCGGACUCAGCAUCAUGGGACCUGUAACACAGUGACUGGCUUUUCUUCUCCCGGUUUUAUGGGGAUGUAAGGGGCACCCAGCUCUGUGUCAGGUUGAGGUACAGCAACACGAUGGCUCCGACUGUGUCAUGCAGGACCACCACCCUAAGUUCAGGGACCAUCCGUCGGCUCACUCAGACACAAAGUUAAAGAAACAGAAACGAAUCGUUUCCCUGUGACGGCAGCUCUCAGGAUGUAUCCCCUUAACCGCCUCCUAAAUAAUGUUCAGCAGGGUUGGUGAGCCUCACCGCGUCGCCUGGCACGGGUGUCUCCCACGGCCCCAAGUGUGCGCCGUACGCACCCCCUCCUCGAGAGUCCCUCUCCUCCCGAGCCCCGGCACCCCAGAUCUGAUCUCUUGGCCUAGAAGUGUGUUCAUUUGUUUUUGAAGAUAAUGGACCGACAACACUGAGUGAGUGCCUGUUCCUGAUUUGUGGUGAAUCAAUACUUCUGUGUAUUUCAAACAGAUUCACCUGCAUGUCUUGUUCCAAUAUGUCACCCCCCAAAAAUAUGACACAGUUAUUGAUACAUUCCCUACUCGGGACAUUUCUUACCUAUUAGUUGUUUAUAACUAAAAGUUUGUACGUCUAUGUCUUCCCCACCGAUUUCUUUUUUCUUGUUAAAAUGUAGCUGAUUUGAACAUGUUAGUUUCAGAUGCACAGCAGAAGGCCUAAGUUAUAUAGAGAUGUAUAUAUAUAAACACAUACACACAUUUGUAUACAUGUGUAUACAUUUUUUUUCAGAUUCUUUUCCAUUACAGGUUAUUACACGAUCUUGGGUCUCCCCUGUGCUGUGCAGUAGGUCCUUGCUGUUUAUGUGUUUUAUAUACAGUGGUGUGUGUGUCUAUUAACCCCAAAGUCCUAAUUUAUCCCUCCGCCCCCUCCUGCCCCUUUUGGGACCAUAAGUUUGUUUUCUAUGUCUGUGAAUCUGUUUCUGUUUUGUAAAUGUAUCAUUUUGUCACAUUCCACAUAAAAGUGGUAUCAUAUGACACUGGUCUUCCUCUAACGUAGCACGAUCAUCUCUAGGUCCAUCCACGCUGCCGCAAAUGACAUAAUUUUGUUCUUUUGUGACGCUGAGCAAUACUCCAUUGUGUGUAUGUACCACAUCUUAAUCCAUUAAUCUGCUGAUGGACAUUUGGGUUGCUUCCAUGUCUUGGCUAUUAGAAAUAGUGCUGCACUGAACAGUGGGGUGCGUGUAUCUUUUCUUUUGUUUUUAAUUAAAUGAAUUGAUCACAUCUGCAGUUGUAUAAUGAUCAUAACAAUCCCAUUCCACAGGAUUUCCGUCCCACAGCCCAAGCACAUCCCCCACCCUGCAUGUAUCUCUCCAAAGUAAAGUUUUCUCCGGACGUGUGCCCAGGAAUAGGAUUGCUGGAUCACCGGGUAGUUUCACAUGUAGUUUUGUACGGACGCUCCAUGCUGUUUCCCAUGGUGGUGUACCAAUGUAUACUCCCUCCAGCGUAGGAGGAGUCCCUUUUCUUCUUACUCUCUCCAGAAUUUACUUUUUUCAGACUUUUUGAUGAUGGCCAUUCUGACCAAUGUGAGGUGAUACCUCAUUGUAGGUUUCUGUUUUUGUUUUUAGGGCUGCACCUGCAGCACGUGGAGGUUCCCAAGCUAGGGGCUGAAUCGGAGCUAUCGCCGCCAGCCUACACCACAGUUCCCAGCAACACCAGAUCCUUAACCCACUGAGCAAGGCCAGGGAUCGAACCUGCAUCAUCAUGGUUACUAGUCAGUUUUGUUUCCACUGAGCCAUGAGGGGAACUCCCGUCAUUGUAGUUUUGCUUCGCAUUUCUCUAAUAAUUAGUGACAUGGAGCAUCUUUCCAUGUGCCUGUUGACCAUCUGUAUGUCUUAGGAGAAGUGUCUAUUUAGGUCUCUGGCUCAUUUUUUUGACUGGUUUUUCUCUCUCUCUCUUUUUUUUAAUAUUGAGCUGUAUGAGCUGUUUGUAUAUUUUGGAGAUUAAUCCCUUGUCGGUCACAUUGUUUGCAAAUAUUUUAUCCGUUCUGUAGGUUGUUUUCUUGUUUUUUGUAUGGCUUCCUUCACUAUGCAAGAGCUUUUAUGUUUAAUUAGGUCGCAAUUGUUUAUUUUUGCUUUUGUUUCCAUUAGUCAAAAUAUUUCUGCGAUUUAUGUGGAAGAGUGGUCCGCCUCCUCCUCUCGGAGUUUUAUACAGUCCAGUCUUCCAUGUAGGUCUUUAAUCCAUUUCGAGUGUAUUCUUGUGUGUGGUAUUAGUGUUCUAAUUGCAUUCUUUUACACGUAGCUGUCCAGUUUUCCCAGCACCAUUUGUUGAAGACACUGUCUUUUCUCCAUAAUAUGUUCCUGAUUCCUUUGUCGUAGAUAAAUUGACCAUAAGUGUGUGGGUUUAUUUCUGGGCUCUCCAUUCUGUUCCAUUGAUGCAUGUUUGUUUUUGUGCCAAUGCCACACUGUUUUGAUCACUGUAGCUUUGUAGUGUUGUCUAACGUCUAGGAGUCUGGGAACAAAGGCCUCCAGCUUUGUUCUUUUUCCUCAGAAUUACUUUGGUGACUCUGGGUCUUCUGUGGUUCCAUAUAAAUUUUAGGAUUAUUUGUUCUAAUUCUGUGGAAAAAUGCCAAGGGUGAUUUGAUAGGGAUCAAGUCAAAUCUAUAGAUUGCUGUGGGUAGUAUGGCCAUUUUAACUGUUAAUUCUUCCAACCUAAGGGCAUGGAAAGUCACUCUGUUUCUCUGAAUCCUCUUCAGUCUCCUUUAUCCAUGUUUCAGAGUGCUCAGUGGGCAAGUCUCUCACCUUCUCUCCUUAAUUUUAAUCAUUUAAUCAUAUUUUUAAUCAUUAAAAUCAUUUAAAACUUGACUUUUAAGUAUACAGCUUUCUAAGGAGUAUUGAGGGGGGAAAAAAAAGCAUGAGUUAAGCCUGUGUACUUUCUUUUCUUUUUUNUUUUUUUUUUUUUUUUUUGUCUUUAUGUCUUUUUUCUAGGGCCACGCCUGUCGUAUAUGGAGGUUUCCAGGCUAGGGGCUCAGUCGGAGCUGUAGCUGCCAGCCUACGCCAGAGCCACAGCAACACGGGAUCUGAGCCACAUCGGCAACUUUCACCACAGCUCACGGCAACACCGGAUCCUCAACCCACUGAGUGAGGCCAGGAACCGAACCCACAACCUCGUGGUUCCUAGUUGGAUUCGUUAACCACUGCACCGCAGCGGGAACGCCAAGCCUGUGUACUUCAUUGACAUAACUGGGAAAGCCUUAGAGCUUCACACUGAUAGACUUUUGUUUUAAAACAAACUGAUAAAUGUGGGGUAAAUCUGAACAAGAAUUCCUGAGUGGGCGUUCCCUUGCCAGCCUAGAGAUUAAGAAUUUAGUGUCGUCACUGCUAUGGCGCGGGAUCUAUCCCUGGCCUGGGAACUUCUGCAUGCUGCAGGUGCAGGAAAAAAGAUUCCUGAAGAGAACAAUAACUGAAGCACUUGCUACCUCACUGCAACUGUGCAGUAGGCUGUCCCCAACCUCAGACGGGCAUCUGCACAGCGUCCAGAUCGUCCAGGAGGCAUGUGUGCGUCUGUGUGACGAGGGGCUGGAGAAAGUGCUGCCCCAGCUCCACCACCACCACGUCAAUAUUCGCUCCGUCCUUUUCACUUCGCAAGUGCCAUGCUUCCUGCUUCCACCAGGCGUUGACAUGCUCCCCGUUGGCUCUGCAGCCACCCGUUUUGGACUUUGCAGGACCUCUGGGACGAUGGGUAUCAGAGCCAGAAGAGCUGGGUGACCCGCGGGACCCGCUAGUUUGCAGAGGACAGACUGGCAGGGGGGCCGCACGGCUGGAGAGGAGCUCCUCAUACCCCCUUGGAGGCUCAGCCCUUUGCAUCAAAAGGAAAUGGCAUCGUGAAGCCCACCCCCUCCCAGGGUCUGCACCUGGACCAAGGGCCUGGGGGGGGAUGGGCAGCAGUGCCCGCGGUUCCCACCCGGCUGCCCCUCAUUGCCCCCUGCAGACAGAGUCAGAACUUUCCAUUUUUAGAAAAGAUGAAACGGAAGUGAGAAGGCGGCUCCCAGCCUAUCUGGGUUCCUGAAGGGGACGGGGGUGAGGCAGGGCUGCUGGGGGCUUGGUUUCCUGAGGGAAAGCGCCAUCUGUGCUUUGUUUCAGCAUCUGCCUCAUGGGUGGCUUGGAGGACCCCGUAGGAUGUGGCCUCCUGAGGACACUGAGUCCUCCAAGCCCCCAGGUGCUCUGGCAGGACAGGUGUGUGUUGUUCUGAAUGCACGGCUGGACCAACAUGUCCAGCUGGAAGGAAACGUGGAGCCUGGAGCUCACCUGAGCAGAGGCCUGAGCUCACCCAGCAGAGGACUGGCCUCGGCGGGCAUGCGCUCAUCAGAGGAGAAAAGGCAAAGUCCACGAUGGUCAAGCUGCACAAGCAGCUCCAAUGCUGCUGGACGGAGCUGCUGCUGUCCCUAAGGUGCAGCUUCCAGGGUCCACACGGGAAGCCCGCUGACAGCUCGCCCAGGACACUCACUGUCUUGUGGGGUCAGGCGGGGAAACUGUGCCAGAAGAGGAUGCUGUGGCCACGGGGCACUGGCCUGGAAGACGGCAGGAGAGAAGGUAAGGGAACGUUCCCUGGGGUCACUGAAGGCAACAGGCAAGGACGACCUGCGGCUGAAGCAGAGGAAGAUCGGGCGAGAUCUGGCUCCAGCUGCGGGGAGCCUCUCCCUGCUGGGGGCUGGGACACGGCUGGUCCCCUCCGCCUGGCCUGGCCGCUGACACCCUUCCACAGAACGGGGGGCAAGCCAGGGGUCUUCCAGCUGCAGAAAGGGUUGACUGGGUUGGUAUCAGCCUGUGAAAGAACAGGGAGCCGAGGAACAGAAUGAGUGAAGGCACGUGCUGGCGAAGCUCGUUUAGAGAGAGCAAGCUGAGGAGUGCGAAAGGCACUGCUUCGGGGGACACUUCUGGUGACACUGCCCUGAGGCUGAGGUCUGGGCCCAGGCGUCUGUGGCUCCGCAGGUGCCACGGGCAGUCGUGGGUCUCCUCGCCACACUGGUCUGGAGGGGACCCCUUGCUCAGGCACCAGUGCCGGAGGGAGCAGCUGGCGUUUCAGCAUCCGCCCCUACGCCUCGAGUCCACCUGCGUCCGUUCCAGGCGGGGCCAGAGCGAAGGUCCACAGCCCCGACGACCCACCUCUCAGCUCUGCAGGCUGGGGCCUUAAUCCACACCCUCCCCGCCGCUUCUGGCAGUUUCCCACCGUCUUGGGCGUUCUCCAAUCUCCGCCCCCAGGAGGUCACCUGGCCUCCUCCCGUCUGCGUCUGCGGCUGAACCUUCCCUUCCCUGUCCAGGGCCACCCCCUCCAGUGUGACCUCAUGCUAAAUAAGGUCGUGCUCGCCACCGGCACAGGAAGCCCAAGUUCACGGGCUCUGGCUCUGGCCCCCUGGGAGCUGCGCAUGAGUGUGGACGGCACCCUUCUGAAGAGUGAUGACUGACUCUCUGCGACAGGGACAGAGGAAGCUAACCCCGCCGCAGGGCUGCGCUCCUGCCGGCACCGGCGUGUUUCCGUUGCCCCACCGACCCCACAGCAGUCCUCCUCUUCUGAGGCCAACAGGCCGAGGAACCCCCGUGAGGCCUGGGGCGAGUUUCCCAGAGGCCCCUGGGGCGGCGAGGGCCACCCCUGGGGACCAGCUCUGGGGACCAGCUGUGACGGCCUCCAGCCUCCCACUGCCGCCCCUCCUGCCUCUGGCUUGGCGGGCCCUGCCUGCGCUGUUAACGUGCUGCAGACGCGCCAUGAGCAGAGCGAGGUGGCUGUGCCUCUCUAGCGUGUGUUCACCGUGGAACAGGAGACCGUCCCGAAGCCAGAUGCCCGCCUGCCUGCUGUGACACGGAGGGGCCGCAAGCCUGGCCCCUGCCGAGACCGGCCCCGUUGGAACAGGCAGGACCAUCCCCGGACCUCGUGGGUAGAUUGAUCUAGAAUUUCCUCUUGUUGCCAAAGAUAGAAGCACGUCCCGGCAGCUCCCCAGGGCCGUCGGCACCAACCAUCUGCUCCCGCAGAGACACACCGCGCCCGGGCGCUCUGCACUGAUGCACACCCCAAAGGAACCCCGUUCCCCCACCACCUAUGACCCCAAGGCUGGCAGUGACACGUCUAAACUCAGGAGAAGUC
This 7176-nucleotide long non-coding RNA is filed under the name Sus scrofa (pig). RNAcentral describes it as "lncRNA (ENSSSCG00050073526.1)". Lineage: Eukaryota; Metazoa; Chordata; Mammalia; Artiodactyla; Suidae. The record is from RNAcentral.